This 435-nucleotide ribosomal RNA is filed under the name Triticum aestivum (bread wheat). RNAcentral's name for it is "partial small subunit ribosomal RNA". The record is from RNAcentral. Lineage: Eukaryota; Viridiplantae; Streptophyta; Magnoliopsida; Poales; Poaceae.
AUGGCCGAAUAUGAUACUAGUAUUGUUCAAGAUGAAGAUUUAAUUGUUGUAUCGCCAAGAUUGAAAAUAGAUGACACAGAUGCAUUGAAGUAUAUACAUAUUGAUCAGGAAAGUGUGAAGAAUGUACAAGACUCCAUGGAAAUUACUAGUAGGCCUACAGGAGCACUUGUAUGCAUGUGCGUACGGCCAUGCAUGCAUAGGAAACAUGAAGCCUUGGUGAGUCACGUUUGUGGAGAUAUUUUGGGAGGAGUUCAGUUUGAGCCAGCAAAAGAAUCCACAUGCAACAUUGAUCAGUUUCAGUUUGGGCCAGAGAUAAAUGAGUUCAAGUGCAUCCAUGGGAGAUUAGUCAUGUACGCAGCUAACCACAAGCAAGGAGUUAUAAAAAUAUACAAGUUCCAUCUGGUGCGGCCACCUGACAAAGAAGCGUACUCAUGA